ACGUAGGGGGCAAGCGUUGUCCGGAAUGACUGGGCGUAAAGGGCGUGUAGGCGGCCGAUUAAGUCUGGAGUGAAAGUCCUGCUUUCAAGGUGGGAAUUGCUUUGGAGACUGGUUGGCUUGAGUGCGGAAGAGGCUAGUGGAAUUCCCAGUGUAGCGGUGAAAUGCGUAGAGAUUGGGAGGAGCAGCGGUGGCGAAGGCGGCUAGCUGGGCUGUAACUGACGCUGGGGCGCGAAAGUGUGGGGAGCGAACAG
RNAcentral lists this ribosomal RNA (251 nucleotides) under uncultured prokaryote. Its description in RNAcentral is "partial 16S rRNA". It matches the Rfam family "Bacterial small subunit ribosomal RNA", at positions 525 to 775 of the family's 1533-position model. The record is from RNAcentral.